RNAcentral lists this long non-coding RNA (1767 nucleotides) under Anas platyrhynchos platyrhynchos (common mallard). Its description in RNAcentral is "lncRNA (ENSAPLG00000024035.1)". Lineage: Eukaryota; Metazoa; Chordata; Aves; Anseriformes; Anatidae. The record is from RNAcentral.
UUUUUGCCUAAUGAGAAUGUCUAAUGAGAAAAAAAUAAGCAAAUGAAUCCAUUUGAGAUGGUGAUUAGCAAUGGAAAGCAACAUGGCACCCUAUGAAAAUGUAGCAAAUAUUCAAAUUCAUGGAAAUAGGUACUAGUGGCUUUUCUAGAAGAUCAAUUAAAAGCCUCUUUAAAGAAUGAGUUCUUCCAGACCUCCCCCUGCCUUUUACUUUUGCAGUAAGCGUGCCUUAGACAAGACCUUCUAUAAAGUUUAUGGAUAGAUGAAUUGCACAAGUACAAAACUUGUCUUAUGCAUGAAACUUCACAGCUUUGUUAAAUGAAAAUAGGAUAGUAAAUGCCAAAACAAAACAAAACCACAAAAAGAAUGAUACUGGUAUUCUGUCUUUUUCUUUCACUGACUGUAUAAAUGUGGCCGAGUUUCUGAAUUCUGAGGGGAAGCAGUGUGUAUAUACAUACACAAAUAGGAAAUAUGCAUGUAAGAAAGAUGUGUCAAAUGACUUGUGUUGCACAGAAAUUCUGGCAGGAGAUCUUGUUUACUUGGAUAGUUACUUGAUUAUUCUCUGGUUCACAGAGAUGAGCAUUCCUGUCACAGACCUUCAAUCAACAUCUCCUUAUGAAUACACUGUUACAUCCUAAAAUGAACAAAGGAAGAAAGAUAAACGCAUCAGCCAAAGUGGCUGUCCAGCUCUGACACAGCCACUGAGCCUGACACACAUCGUUGUUGGCAGCAGCGCAAAUUAGUGCUCCAGUGACAGCCACCCCGUGGCAGAAAUGCCUUUGCAAGUUAGGAUGCUCAGAGAUCUGUAAGCCUGGGGAAAGCACAGCCUGGAGAGAUGGAGCCGUGGCAAGCCGAGAGAGGUGAGGACAACUGGAAAACCCGACAAGAAACAUCAAAAGAGAAAUAUGAAGCUGAGAUUUGAAAAGGAAAAAGCCUUCUCUGUCCUUUCCUUGCAGCAAAGUGGGACUUUGAUCAGACGUGCAAGAAAUAAAGGUACGACAUUUCUUGAUCUGAGGAGGAAAAGUGUGGUGGUUUUUGUUUGUUUGUUGGUUGGUUGGUUGUUUUUUUUUUUUGUUUUUUUUGUUUUUUUUUUGGUUUGGUUUAUUGCUUCUUUUCCUCCACUCUUUCACAAAGUUUCUUCCAGAACUCACAGUUAUAACAUUUUCUCUUUGUCAUUAAAAAAAUCACUAUCCUUUCUUUGAUGAGUCUAAUUAAAGCAAGGAAAUAAUAAGGGAAGUAGAUAUCUUUCUGCUCUUCCAGCUGGUUUGUAAUACCAAAUAUAAAUUUGCUUGCACAAAAAGAACAUUUCAUGUGAAUUCAUGUGAAUUCAUCUUUUUUUUUUCUUUUCCAUUGACCACAAUGUGCAGAUAGCAAAUAUUUUCUUUUUUUUUGUUUGUUUGUUUGUUUGUUUUGUGUGUGUGCAUCCUUGAUAUAGGAGAUAAAAUUAUAGCAAAACAGAAUGCAUGACUAAUUUGCAUUAUCCAAAGUCCUUUCUUUCCAAUGAGUUACCACAAAGUCCAUGCCACCCACAGCAAGCAAACAAAAAAAAUCUUUUGACACAUUUUCAGCUUAAGAUAGGUGCACUCAGGCUUACAUUUUAGGAUGGCUGAAUUGCCAGCUUCUCUCAAUUAACUAUAUACAGAAUGAAAGGUGACUGUUCCUGAAAGGUGAGAUUCUUUGUUGGCUGCCCUGAGUUUGAUCUGUUUUUGUCAGCUCCCUGAUAUAAACUACUCAGGAAAAAAUAAAAUAAAAUUACUUUGUUUAGUGACA